GUUCUAUAAGAUGGUGUUCUACAGCAGACAUCAGAAACCCCCUUUUUAAAAUAAAGAACUGCCACUGCAUCAAAUCUUAAUGAUCCCACAGAGGACCGGCCUGGAAGGAAAGGCACACAAAUGCCUACGUGCCGCGGCGGUUGUCAGAAGAAAGCCAAGGAUGCUCACCUAAGAUCAUCAGGAAGAGCUGCUAAGGACGUGGAUCAGUUGAAUGAGAAGUAAAGCAGUGGCACAGGUUGCCCAGAGAAGUGGCAGUGCCCCAUCCCUGGAGACGGUCAAGGUCAGGCUGGAUGGGGCUCUGAGCAACCUGAUGGAGCUGUAGGUGUCCCUGUGCAUUGCAGGGGAGUUGGAC
This 352-nucleotide long non-coding RNA is filed under the name Gallus gallus (chicken). Its description in RNAcentral is "lncRNA (ENSGALG00010018117.1)". Lineage: Eukaryota; Metazoa; Chordata; Aves; Galliformes; Phasianidae. The record is from RNAcentral.